Gadus macrocephalus (Pacific cod) is the source of this 486-nucleotide long non-coding RNA. RefSeq lists it as uncharacterized. The record is from RefSeq and is a predicted model, not a curated record. NCBI's taxonomy places the organism in Eukaryota, Metazoa, Chordata, Actinopteri, Gadiformes, Gadidae. The transcript has 3 exons.
UUGAGUUGUGCAAACAUGUAUCGACUGUUGUGCUAUUGUUUGUUUUAAGUAAGAAUAUGUUUUUCAAUAACAUCAUUGUGCAUCAAGGAAACUCUUUUUCACGUUUGCCAUUUUAAAUUGAUACCGGUGAGACACGUGAUCGAAAGAAGAUGUUAAAGACUUUUUGAAGUAAAGAGGAGCAUCUCAUCUGGACCUGAUGUCUAUCAUGGAUAUUUAACUGCAGUUCUGUGAGUAUCCCAACUUCACCAUGAAGAUGAACUGCGAACUGUAAGUCAAUAGUUUCUCAUUACUCUUGGGCACAUUGCUGUAUUUUGGCUUCCUGGUGAGUUAACCCGUUAGCUGAAGGUUGAUCCGAGUAGUAAGGAUGUUUUAUUGGUUCAUGGGCUACUUAGGCGUUUGGUUUUUGUUGGUUUUAAUGGUUUGUUAAAACGGUUAAAGGUUCUAAGUUAUUGUUGUAAGCUGGAGUAAUGGGUUGGGUUCUGAUGU